Molecule: ribosomal RNA, 253 nt
Filed under: uncultured bacterium
Lineage: Bacteria
Description: partial 16S ribosomal RNA
Rfam family: Bacterial small subunit ribosomal RNA
Source: RNAcentral
UACGGAGGGUGCAAGCGUUGUUCGGAAUCACUGGGCGUAAAGGGCGUGUAGGCGGCCUGUUAAGUCUGAUGUGAAAUCCCCUCGCUCAACGAGGGAACUGCGUCGGAAACUGGCAGGCUCGAGUACCGGAGAGGAAGGUGGAAUUCCCGGUGUAGCGGUGAAAUGCGUAGAUAUCUGGAGGAACACCGGUGGCGAAGGCGGCAUCCUGGACCGACACUGACGCUGAGGAGCGAAAGCCAGGGGAGCAAACGGG